GGGGGCCGCCCGCCUGCCGGGGAGGGGCAGCGCGGACGGGCGAGCGCCGCGUGCGGGAGAGCGAAGGCUGCAGCGCGCCCGGCAGCCGGGAUGCAGCGGCGCCGCCCAAGCCUGGGGCGCAGGGGUCGGGGCACACGGGGAUAGGCCCGACGCGGGGCCGAAGGAAGGGUGGUCUUUCCCGCAGAGUUGCCGCUGGAGGACCGAAAGUUUUGCAGGCAGCCCUUGCUUCCAGCUUGUCACUCUCUCCCCGCGUCCCUGUCGCCCAACGCGAGGCGCCCCGGUUGGGGUCCCGACGGCUUGGUGGGGAGGAGCCGUGAGGGGUUGCGCCCCCCACCCCCACCCGAGCCAGGGAAGGGACCCUGGUGACCUCGCCUCCCAGCCCUCACCCCCGUCACCCCUUUCUUCUCUUUCCCGGAGGACUUUGGACCAUGGAGAUUCUGCAGUUGUUGCUCUGGGAGCUGAAACCAGUGGGUAGAUGUCGUUCUGAAACGCAGUUCUUCUUUUUGUAAAGGUGUGUCCUGAGGAACCUCAGAUUUGAAAGAAGAGUGAAUGGAAGUCAAAUGUGGAAACCACUCAAAUGUCCAUCAACUGAUGAAUGAAUAAACAAAUCGUGGUAUAUCCAUACAAGGAAUAUUAUUCACCCAUAAAAAGGAAUGAAGUCUUAAUACACCUACAACUGGAUGAACAUUGAAAACAUUAUGCUAUCCAUUCUGCUUCAGACCGGAAAGGAGAAACAGUCUUAUCUGCAUAAAAGUCCUGGUACUGCUGUAUCUCAUACUAUAAGUUCAGUUUUCUCCCUUCACCUGAGGAUUGUGAGAUCCAUGAGAGCCCAGAAAAUAUCUUAGGAUCCCUAGAGCUUGGCAUAUGGAGGGACAUGGAUGAAGCUGGAAACCAUCAUUCUCAGCAAACUAUCGCAAGGACAAAAAACCAAACACUGCAUGUUCUCACUCAUAGGUGGGAAUUGAGCAAUGAGAACACAUGGACACAGGAAGGGGAACAUCACACCCCGGGGCCUGUUGUGGGUUGAGGGGAGGGAGGAGGGAUAGCAUUAGGAGAUAUACCUAAUGUUAAAUGACGAGUUAAUGGGUGCAGCACACCAACAUGGCACAUGUAUAUAUAUGUAACAAACCUGCACGUUGUGCACAUGUACCGUAAAACUUAAAAUAUAGUAAAAAGAAAAAAAAAAGAAUGGAAUGCCUGAUUCUGCAUCCCUGUAGAUGGGAUCAACAGGAUCAAAACAUGACCUUGAUGGCCAAGCCAAGUUCUCUUUUUCCCAAAGGGUUUAAAUCUGCCCUAUUUAAUAUGGUAGCCAGUAGCCAUAUGUAUUUAUAUUAAAUUUAAAUUAAUCAAAAUUUAAAAAUUAGUUACUUAGUCACACUAGCUACAUUUUACAUGCUCAGUAGCCACAUAAAGCCAGUGGCUGCUGUAUUGAACAGUGCUGAUUAUGGAAUAUUUCCAUCACUGCAAAAGGUUCUGUUGGACAGCAGUAAUCCAGAUCUCCUUUGUAGAAGAAUUGGCACCUGGGGCUGCCUGAUCUUCAAGGGGCACAUCACAGAGCAUGGUGUUGACCCAUCUGGAUACCAUGUUUGAAGUUGACAUGGCCCAGAAAUUUGACUUCCACCAGUUAAAAAUGUACUUCGACAGUUUUGUAUUUAACCUGUAAAUCCAGAAGCAUGUCAGGGCCUUCUGGAUGGAGCACUGUGAAAUUAGCAUACACUUCAAACCCUCUUCCCUAAAAGAUCAUGCACUACUGUGCUGUACAUGGUAGACCUAUCUCAUAGUGUAGGCUUCAGCAAAUACUCUUUGACAAAUAAUUGGUUCUGUGCUGAUGAUAAGCCUAAUAGGUGAAAGAUGGUCUUUCCCUUAAAAAAUUGAGAUAUAUGAUACCAGUCUCAUAAACUCUAAUUCACAAGCCCUGGCAUUAUGAGAGGCACUUAAAGUAUGAAUGGUGUUAAGAUUAUCCUUUAAUUUUGCAGUAGGCAAAUGACCUCCCAAAGAUAUUCACUUCCUAAUCCCCAGAAUUUGGGAAUACAUUACCUUACAUGACAAAGGGGAUUUGCAGAUGUGAAUAAGUGAAGGAUUUUGAGAUGGGGAGACUAUCCUGGAUAAUCCCAGUGGGACUCAUGUAAUCACACAAGUUCUUAAAAGUGGAGAACUUUUCCCUGCUGUGGUCACAGAGAAAAACGCAACCAAUGUAAGAACGGUCAGAGAGAUUCAACAUUGUUGGCUUUGAAGAUAGAGGAAGAGACCACAAGCCGAAGAAUGCAGGCAGGCUCUAGAAGCUGGGAAAGAGAAGGAAACGUAUUCUCUGCAGAGCUAGCAAAAUGAAUACAUCCCUGUCUACACCUUGAUUUUAACCUGGUGAGACCUGUAUUGGGCUUCUGACCUACAGAACUCUAAGAUAAUAACUAUAUGUUGUUGAACAUGCUAAGUUUGUGGGAAUUGUAACAAUAGCAAUAGGAAAUGAAUACACCUUUUAUACAGUGGAGGAUGACUAAAUAAUUUAUUUUGAAAAUACAACUGUCACAAGGAUGAAAUAUUCAUGAUCACAAAUUGGUGCAUUCUUAACUGUGGAUAAUUAUGUAUGAAGCCAAAUUGUAAUAAAACUGUUAUUUGCCAAACAUAGAAACCUUGCUUCGUGACUAGGCUGAGCCCAGAGUGUUAUUCUCUUCUUCUGCCUGUUAUGUAUCUGGGCAAUUGUAGGGCCUUUGCAGGUGAAUCCGGUAGAGAACAUGCUAAGAAUGAGCAGCAGUCAUGCAUGACUGUAUCAUUGAAAGCCUUCUAGCCAUUUUACAGCUUCACCUCCGUGGUUUUAUUUUUUCAGAGGGGACUGAAGGAGAUGAAUGGAUAAUAAACUAUGGCUAAAAACUUGGUCUGGAUGAACUCUUUGAUGCGGGGCGGCAGGGGGGCGGGGGUGAUGGGUGCGUACCAUGGGAUCAGUAGCCCUGCACCAGCUCAGAGGUAUAAUUGUGAGGCUGGUGGAAAUGCUCAUCAGGGAGAAGGAAAUCAGGAUCACAGCUUCUGAGGACUGAACAUGCUCUCAAAUAUAGAAUCAUUAAUGGCCUUGGCAUUCAUGGUGUUAGCCUUGACUCAAAUGAGAAUGCCUCGACCCUUCCCAGGUUCUCCGAGGCCCCUAAGUAGACUGUCGCUAGGACUUGGGGACAUGGAGCUCAGUUAAUGGCCUCUUAUUUUUACUAUGCCAUAGCACCCACCUGAUUUCUGGAAGGCAUUGCUUCACUUUCAUAGACAGAAGAUGUAACGACUGCCACGAAGAUCCCUGGAGCUCUGCCUGGCGAUUCUCACUCCCACUGGGUAGCUGACAAAUUUUCCCUGAGAAGACAUGGUUUCCUCCAGCAGCAGCAGAAGGAGUCAUGGGUUUUUCUGUUUCAUGGCUCAAACUGUUGUGACUCGGAAUUAUACUAGGACAGGGCCCUGACUUAUUCUUCUGGGCUGGGCUGAGUAAGGCCUGGCUGAGUGUAGCUGGGUACACAGGUAGGGGUGGAAUCAAAGCUGGAGGUACCCAUAAUGCUGGUUAGGAGGAUAACUAGCUAGAAUAAGGUUGGCAAGAACUGGGUGAGCAGGGAUAGGAAUUAAGACUGAGGACUGGGCUGAGGGUAGGUCAGGGGUUCUGGCAGCAACACAGCUGGAAUGAAUGGAGAAGCACACAAACAAAACCAAGCUAAGAAGAGCCUAGAUCAAGCUUGUCCAACCCAUGGCCCACAGGCUCCAUGUGGCCCAGGAUGGCUUUGAAUGUGGCCCAGCACAAAUUUGUAAACUUUCUUAAAACAUUAUGAGAUUUUUUGGUGAUUUUUUUAGCUCAUAACUAUUGUUAUCAUCCCAGAAGGUGUUCAAUUUACCUUGUCUAGAUCCACUAGAGGAAUCACUGUCUAUGACAGCUGUAGCUUUAUGAAAUGUAUUAUAUUUCUUAAAUAGUAAAACUUGAAAGUUGAAAUUAUAUAUUGAUCCAUGGGCUGCAGAAUGAAUGUUGUGUUAGCAAGUAUGAAAACAUCAUUAAUCUCCUUACACAUCUCCAUCAGAGCUCUUACGUAACCAGUGCAUUGUCAAUGAACAGUAAUAUUUUGAAAGGAAUCUUUUUUUCUGAGUAGGUCUCAACAGUGGACUUAAAAUAUUCAGUAAAACCAUGCUGUAAAAAGGUGUGCUGUCAUCUAGGCUUUGUUAUUCCAUUUAUAGAGCACAAAGCAGAUUUAGCCUAAUUCUGAAGAUCCCUAGGAUUUUUUAAAUAGUAAAUGAACAUUGGCGUCAACUUAAAGUCACCAGUUGCCUUAGCCUAUAACAAGAGAGUCAGUCUGUUCUUUGAAGUCUGAAGCCAGGUAUUGACUUCUCCUUUCUAGCUAUACAAGUUCUAGGUGGCAUCUAGAUGGCAUCUUCUCCCAAUAGAAAGCUGUUUUGUCUAAGUUGAAAAUCUGUUGUUUAAUGUAACCACCUUCAUCAAUGAUCUUAGCUAGAUCUUCUGGAUCUUGCACUUUUAUGUGCACAAGGAUGUCUUUUAUGUUAACUAGAUGACUUCUUUCCUUAAACCUCAUGAACCAACCUCUGGUGGCUUUAAACUUCUCUUCUGCAGCUUCCUCACCUCUCUCAGCCUUCAUUGUACUGAAGAGACUUGCUCUGAAUUAGGCUUUGGGCUUAAGAGAAUGUCGUGGCUUGUUUGAUCUUCUAUUUAGACCACUAAAACUUUCUUCAUGUCAACAACAAGGCUGUUUCACUUUCUUGUGAUUUGUGUGGUUACUGGAGUAGCAAUUUUAAUUUCCUUUAAGAACUUUUCUUUUGCAUUUACAACUUGGUUAACAGGAGCAAGAGGCCCUGCUUUUGGCCUGUUUCAGCUUUGGGCAUGCCUUCCUCAACUAAGCUUAGUCAUUUCUAGCUUUUGAUUGAAAGUGAGAGAUGUGUGAUUCUUCCUUCCACUUGAACAGUUAGAGGCCAUUAUAGGGUUAUUAAUUGGCCUAAUUUCAAUAUUUUUGUGUCUCAGGGCAUGGGGAGGCCUGAAGAGAGGAAAGAGAUGGGAAAAUGGCUGGUUUCUGGAGCAGGAAGCACACACAUAUAUUUAUUUAUUAGGUUUGACAUUUUAUAUGGGUGCAGUUUGUGUCACCCCCAAACAAUUACAAUAGUAACAUCAAAGACCACUGAUCACAGAUCACCAUAGCAGAUAUAAUAUUGAAAUAUUGCAAGAAUUACAAAAAUGUGAGCCAGAGACAUGAAGUGAGCACAUGCUGUUGGAAAAAUUGCACUGAUAGAUCUUGCUCAACACAAGGUUGCCACAAACCUUCAUUAAAGAAAAAAUGCAAUAUCUGCAAAGGGAAAUAAAGUGAAGUGCAAUAAAACAAGGUGUAUCUGUAGUUGUGCUGCUGCAAAAAUUAUCUGUGCUCUGUCUAUUCAUCCUUUCCCCCUCCCAAUCCCUGGCAACCACUGAUCUUUUUACUGUCUCCAUCGUUUUGCCUUUUCCAGAAUGCCAUACAGUUGGGAUAAUAAAGACAGUAUGUAGCCUUUCAGAUUGGCUUCUUUCACUUAGUAGUACGCAUUUAAGCUUCUUUCAUGUCUUUUCAUGUCUUUUCAUGGCUUGGCAACUCAUUUCUUGCUAGUACUGAAUGAUACUCUAUUGUCCGGAUGUAUCGCAGUUUUUAAAAUCCGCUUACCAACUCUUAACUUUUAAUCCAGUGAUUUUCAAACUGGGGCCUUUGGAGAUCUGGGCUGAAUGUGUAUUCUUGAGGACUCAAGAGUUUUAGAAUUUGAGAGAUAACUAGCCAAGCAUAUAGUAUGUGCUCAAUAAGUAUAAUCAUUAGUGACAGAAUUACGACUAUUGUAAAAGAAGCUACAAGUGUUGUGAAGCAGGGCUGGGUGGGGCCUGUGUUCACAAGCGUUAUCCCAGAGAGGAGAGGCAUGUCAACGGGAUUUGUAGUCAAUGCUAUUUAUUUGCAGCUGGAGAGGGUUUGAACUUCCUGGACAGCUGCCUGGGGCUGCCCAGGCUUCAAGGGCCACAUUCCUGGGGCAGAUGCUGGACACUGCUGUGGCCUGACAGUUUCUGACAGCCCCAUUUUUAAAACCUGGAACAUUUUCUUAUCUUGAGUUUUCUGGCACUGUUCCCUUGCUCAGUGAUUUUCAGAGAUAACGGUGUGAUUCCUCAAUUACCUCUGAAAGGUCUUCCUGUUGCCUGGGCUGUAAUUCAUGGGGCCUGGAGACCUGAACUCAUUUGGGCUGCUCGGGGCUCCCUAAAUCUCUGUCCAUCCAUCUUUAGCUUCUGUUCUCUCUUAACCAUCUGUGUUCUGCUCCACUAAUAUUGGAGAUUUUGCUUCCAGAUGGCAAGGCUAGAGUAAAAUUGCAGCUGGGCAGUGUCAUCAUCUGUUCCACCAUUUACCCCAGGCCAUCACCUUCCUUUGUUCAUCUUCUUACCUGAAACACAAUUUUACAAGGUCCAUGUUUUGCUGUCUGAGCACUGCACAGGCCUGAGGUCAGAGCUGUGACCAUGACCCAGCCUCUCCUGUACUGUCCUUUGUCUGUGCUCCCCUCUACCUGCAUAGUGAAAUGCUCCCUGCGCUGACACACAGCUCAGGAGUUUAAGUACCUCCUCCCUUGUGUUCAUCUGGAUUAUGCCUUACUGUAUUUCCAGAAUUUCAUUUUUUUAGAGCCCUCUGCUUCUUAAGUCAUAUUUUGUUUUAGGGACGGGGUUCUCAACCCUGGCUGCACAUUAAAAUGAUUGGAGAAAUCAAACCUCUAGGGUAUGGUUUUCCAGUUAAUCAUAAAAAAUCUCUCAUGUUUAUGUUCUCCAUAUAAUCAUAAAAGAAAAAAGUAUUAAAAUGAGCUUCAUCAAAAUUAAACAUUCCUGUUCAUCAAAAGCUACUGUUAAGAAAAAGAAACAAAUCACAGACUGGCAGAAAAUAUUUGCUACACAUAUAUCUGACAAAGGACUUAUAACCAGUAUAGAUUAGCAAUUGCUACAAUUGAGUAAUAAAAAGAAGAAAUUGAUCAAAAAAGCUUGAACAGGCACUUCACAAAGAAAAAUUUGUAAAUGAUCAGUAAACACAUAAAAAGGCAUUUAACACCAGUAGUCAUAAGGGAAAUGUGAAUUAAAACCUACUAACAUGGCUAAAAUUUAAAAAUGACAACACCAAAUGUUGGCAAGGAUGCAGACCAACUGGAACUCUCAUUUGUUUCUGGUAGGAGUAUAAAGUGGUACAACCACUUUGGAUACUGUUCUGGCAGUUUCUCAUAAAGUGAAACAUACACCUACCCAAUGACCAAAAACACUACUUCUAGGUGUCUACCCAAGAUAAAUGAAAAUAGACACAAACUAGUAGACUUAAAAGCUUUAUUAAUAAUAGCCCAAACUGGAAACCAUCCAAAUGUUCCUCAACUAGAAAACUAAUAAACAAAUUGUGGUAUAUCUCUACCAUAAAAUACUGCGCAGUAAUAGAGAAGGAGCAAACUAGUGGUUCCCAUGACAACACAGAUGAACCUGGAAAACAUGAUGCUGAGGGGAAGAGAUCACACACAAAAGGGUACCUACUACAUAAUUCCACUUAUAUAAAGUUCUAGAACAAGUAAACUAAAAUACAGAGAACCAGAGCAGAGGUUGUUUCUAAGACAGGGCAUCUAUGAGUGUCUGGAAACUGCCAGAGAGAACUUUCUGGAAUGUGUCUGAUGUCUUGAUAAUGGUGGGUUGUUACAAGGCAUAGGCAUUUAUCAAAACCCAUUUUCAAAUGAUGUCUUAAGUGUUGUAUAUUUAUUAUCUGUACGUGCAAUUUACAAAUUAUAUAUCAGUAAGGAGAAUGAAAUUUUAAAAACGUUCCCUAGAUGAUUUUGCUACACAGUAAGGGUUGAUUCAAUGCUACGCUGGCUCAGUUCAUAAAAUGUCUCUGUCUUUUCCCUUCAGUUUGAAACCUUCUUUCCUAACAUCCAGGUCCUUUGUCUGCCAGCACCAUAUUUCAGUCUCUUGUAAUUAGGAACCCAAUAACACCAUGAACACUCACCAAUGAUGUCUUUUUUUCAACACACCAACCUUACCUCUCUGUUGGACAAAAUGAAAUCUAAAACACCAGGUCUCCUUUCUGAGCAAGGGAGUUAUCAGUUGGAUAAUGGGAAAAAUGACUGCCAUUCCAGGUGGAUAACUGGAAGAAUCACUUCUUGUAGGAGAACGAAAUGUGUAGUAGCUGCCGAGGAGGUGAUGUCCUUUGGCCCUGCCCUCUUAUCUGUAUGCAGAAAUGGGUGUGUUCAUAUUAUGUUUUGGGAAAGCAUUUUAGAUUCACUUCAUCAGAUGAGCAUCUUUUUGCUCCUAGGCUUACUGAUUUCGAUGUAGUUGAAUAAGUUCUUAUUUAACGUGAAGUUCUAUGUUUCUUUUUGUUAGACGUACUUCUUUUGAAUAAAACAUAGUUUUAAAAAUUACUAUUUCCAUUCUAACUUCUCUCUUGCCAAGACCCAAGGAUAUCUGGGAGAAUUUUUUUUUUUUUUUUUUACCGUGAUGUGUUUAUAUGUUUGGACUACUUAUUACCCAUCUUUGCCAUAUUUUCUUAUCUGUGGAGAUGCUGAGACCUAAUUUAGCUUAUUUUCUGAAAAGCCAGUGUCAAAUACCUGUGAGCAACACAGAAGAAAUAGAUCACCUACUCAGCAGCUUUAACUGUCUAGGACUCAGCUAAUAACUGAAAAGUAAGCCACAAAGAGACCCUGAAGACACAAAAUAGAUGUCAUAAAAUCCACACACUUUCCUCAGAGGCCAGCCCAUCGGAGUCUCACUCACAGUCACUUUCCUCUCACCUGGGACACAGGUGUAACAUCUUCACAGCUUGGUUAGAUGCACCAAGUUAGAAGACAGAACAAAGAUGGCCUUUACAGUCAGGUAUAUUGAUAGCUAUAAAAAGGGACAACUGACAGGAGAGAAGAGAGAAUCCUUUUCAUCUUCACUUUAUCCUAUUAAAACCAAAAUGAGCCUGGGCACGUUAGGUCAUGCCUGUAAUCCCAGUGCUUUGGGAGGCCGAGAAGGGAGGAUUGCUUGAGCCUAGGAGUUCGAGACCAGCCUGGACAACAUGGUGAAAGCCCAUCUCUACAAAAAAUACAAAAAUUUGCCUGGUGUGGUAGCACAUGUGUAUAGUCCCAGCUACGAGGGAGGCUGAGGAGGGAGGAUCACUUGAGCCCAGGAGUUCAAGGCUGCAGUGAGCUAUGAUGGUGCCACUGCACCCCUAGCAUGGGCAACAGAGUGACACCCUGUCUCUAAAAAGAAAAAAAGAAAGAAAAAUAAAUAGAAAGCUCUAGCAGCUAUUUGUUUCUGGAGCACCCAUGUAAAAUCACUCUCAAGGAGCUCUAGAGGCAUGACCACAUUUGAGGUCAAUGCAAAACAGUCAUUGAUGGUAAUGCCUUUAAGCCACCAAGAAAAGGCCGAAUGUUCCAUGCAGUACUCUUUGAAAAAGGCAGAGAAGUGUGUAAUAUGGUUUAGAAAGGUCUCUAUCAAAUUGGGCAGAAAUAAAAGUUUUGACUGUUUAAGUGAGUAAGGUGCAGUAUCUCAAACCUUCACUGUCCUGGCAUAGUGGCCUUGAGGACAGUUCUGGGGUAAUGACAAUUAUGGAGGCAGAACCAGACCCUCUCUGCUAUCUUCCAUAACCAGCCCAUUCCCCCUUUCUGGAUGGGGGAGUGCCCUCCUCUAACUGCAGCCAUUGCUGUGUGGGCCUCAGCUCCAGUCCGCCACUCCUUGAUCAUGCAGCACCUGCUACCCUUCUUCCUUGAAGCCUCUGCCACCUGCCACCCCAUCUCCUCCUUGGACCUCCAAAUCCAACAGACUCUGGUUAUCUCUGGGUGGACUCUUCACUCUCCAAAUCCAUCAGAGGCUCAUCUCUUAAUCCCAUGAAUCUGAAAUAAAAAGUAGCAAUGCGUAAAGAAGUUCUACAGAUGAAAUGUUAAUGACACUUGGAAUAUGUUUUAAAACAAUCCAGCAGGAGUGGGGAUAGGAAAGGUGUAGGCAAAACAAGAUGGCUAUUGACAACUGUCGGGUUUGGGUGAUGGUGUCAUGGGGCACACUGCCUCUCUUUGUGUAUAUUUUUAAACAUGUCCAUUUAAAAAGGAGGUUGGCCACAGUGGCUUACACCUGUCAUCCUAGCACUCUGGGAAGCCAAGGUGGGAGGAUCAUUUGAGGCCAGGAGUUCUUGACCAGCCUGAGCAAUAUAAUGAGAUCCCGUCUCUACAAAAAAAGUUUUUAAAAUUAGCUGAGCAUAGUGGUGGACCCUUGUAGUCCCAGCUACUUGGGAGGCUGAGAAAGAAGGAUCGCUUGAGCCCAGGAGGUCGAGGCUGCAGGGAGCCAUGUUGUGCUACUGCACUCCAGCCUGGGUGAGAGAGUGAGACUCUAUCUUUAAAACAAUGAAAAUUAAAAAUUAAAAAAAUUUAAAAAUUUUUAAAAAGUUACAAGGACGAUAUAGGAUGUCAUAACGCCUAAUCAAUUCUCAUAUCUUCAUGGGUUUCUGGACAGAGAAUGUACCUUCACUUUACCAUUAGCCUAAGAUCACUCAAAACAUCUGGAAGUUAUUAUUUUAAAAAGAAUCUCAGAAGUAUGCCUGCCUCUCACUGUUAAAUAUACGUGAUGGUGCAGAUUAUUCAGAGCAGUGUUAAGGCAUCAACAUAAGUGCAGCCCCAUGGGGUCAGGGACAGAGGUCAAGGUGAAGUGUUUCUUUAGCUUUGAAGACUUCUGGCACCCAGGCUUACACCUACACUUCAGCUCGGCAAUCCGGAUGUCAGGGAAGUGAGAGGCGAAGUUUGAACCCAUGUGAACUGUACAUUUUGGGACUUGAGUAUUCAGGAACUUGGCUCUCUUUGAUGAGAAAUUACUUCCCUCCUCCAUCGGCUCAGCUUUUCUUCUUCCACCUUCCCUUUCCUCCUUCGUCUCUCCCUCCUCUUUCCCCUUCCUCUCUUCUUCCUCUUUCCCUUCCUCUCUUCCUCCUUCCUUUCUUCCUUCCUCCUUUUAAGUCAUCACCACCACCAGCACUACAAAAACCUAUAGCAUGUUCAUGUCAGAACUUCUAAAGAGUUGUUGUAAAGAUUAAGAUACAAGUGGGGAAGAAAGAAAUUUAAAUUCAUUAGAAUAAUUUUGAUCAUCAUAAUUAAAACAAUUUUUCUUUAUUAUGGACACUUUCAAGCAUAUAAACAUCUGACUAAUCCAACGAACCCCUUGUACUAAUCACUCACCUUCAGUAAAGUUGGCCAAUCUCUAUUUCAUCCUUUCAUCUUUUUCCCCAAUCAUGUCCACCCUCCUCCUGACCCCACCUGAGAUUACUUCAAAACAAAUCCAAGGCAUCAUAUUGUUUCAUCUGUAAAUAAUUCAGCAGUAUUUAUAAGAGAUAAUCUCUCUUAUUUUAAACAUAAUCACAAUACUAUCAUAUCUAAAAAAAAAUUUGUUAAUAUUAUAAAAUAUUCAGUCAGUUCUCAAAUUUCCCUGAUUAUCUCCUUUUUAUUCUUGGUUUGUUCAAAUGAGGACCCAAAUAAGACGCACUCAUUGCAUUCUGCUGAAAUAGCUCUUGUUGCUCAUAGUCUGUAGGCUUCCUUGCCCUCCUGUUUUCUUGCCGUUUAUUUAUUGAAGAAACUGAGCUAUUUGUCUUGCAGAAUUUUUACCGUUCUGCAUUUUGCUGAUUGCAUCUUCAUGGUAUCAUUUAACAUGUUCUUGUAAUUCCUGUAAUUACCUAGAAUUCCUGUAAUUACCUGUAAUUCCUAUCAGCUGAUAGUUAUACCUAGAAGCUUGUCAUUAUUAGUAGCAAUAUCAAAAACUUCACUUUUGAGACUGGCAAUUUCUACGUCUGACAUCUUACCACAGUGAACAAGGCAGCAUCCCAAACUCUUCUGAGUCAAUAAGAAAAGGGUAACUCUUGCAGUAAUGCCAAGUUCAGUUUCUGUUCACUUUGCAAAAAAUGUAUGCCCCCUACUAGACCCAUGACUGUCAACUAGAAUGUGCUGGGCCUCCUCUCCUGUCUGUGCAUGGGAAUGGGCACAACCAGGUGGAAAGAACAUGAACUUGGGAGUCAGAGAGCUCUAGAUGUGAAUUCUGACUUCAGGUUUUAUGAAGUACAUAACUUGUCUAGUGAAUUCAUAUCUCCACUUCUCAGAUUCCUUGUAUACAAGGAUAAUGUCUGUCUUACCAGGCUGCCAAGAUGCACCUGACAUGUAGUAUGUGUUCAAUAAUUGUUUCUUUUCCAGCUUAGGUUAAAAAUGGGAAUUUUCAAGAAACCACAAACCCACAGAGUUUGUUUAGAUCCAAACACAGAUAUGGCAUUUACCAGCCUCGUAAACAAUAGAGGAGGCUUUCAGGCAAGCCCCAAGAAAGCAUGUUCAGAAAGGGGAAGGAACGUGGGGACAGGAACUAUUGCUCCCCUUCUCUCUUUGUACUCAGAAAAUCCAGGAAAUUCUUCUUCAAGAAAGCAUGACCCAUUUCAGCCUAAAAGCGUGCUUUUCUCUGGACUGUGCUGGCUUGAGAACAUAUUUCUUUUACCAAAAAAUGAGUUCACAGUAAGUGACUCAGAAGCAUAUGGAUGAAAUUUCCUUUAAGCCACUCAAGGGAUUAGAAAUUAAGGGAAAAAGUGCCUGGCAAAAUGCAUUUGGGGUUUUGCCAAGCCCAAACCAACUGAGAAAUAGUUAAGACACAAGGCAGAUCUCAAAUGCUGCCAAGUUUACCCAUCUUAGCAGGACAGAGAUUUAUAAUUAGAGCUGCUCAGAAAAGCACUGCCUUACGGGUGGCAAAGGACAAAAAAGGCUUUGUCCCCAACAUCUCCACAGGCUGCGGUUUCCCAGAUGGGCCCUUAACAGUGUACACACCCUCUCCAUCGCCAGGGUCCUCAAAGCCACCGCCUCUACCAAGCAAGGUUCGACUUCUACACCACGCCCCUGACAUUCUCUCCAGGCCUCUUUUGUUUCUGGCCCAGGCUGGAUGCAUCACACUGUGAAUUCCUGGAUGAGGAAGAACAAAUCUUGCGGAGUGGUCUGGAAUUACAGAGGAGAGCCAUAAUGGGAAAAUGCGACAAAGCAAUUACCUUCUCUGACAUACACAUUUUACCCCUGUCUCUCACCUUUGUCACGUUUCCCCAUUUUUUCACCUUCUGUGGGUUUCUUUUUCUGUAAAAUGAAGGGAUUGGAUCUGCUGUUUUCAAACUGUGCUACCUGGAGCCACUUGGGGGCCUGGCGGGGCCCAGUGGAAGUGGAUGGGGAGAUGGUGAGAAGGGCUCUCUUCAAAAAAAGCAGGAGGGGGCUCCAACAUAGCAUUUCAAGGAAAUCAAGGGAUCCAAAGUUAAACAAUUUGAAAAUCACAAGUCUGGACGAAGUCUCAUUGUUCUUUCCAACUGAACACUGCCGGUGUGGUGUGCCUCACUUCUCAGUCUCCAUUCACUAACCCAAAUAUCCCCAAAGAUGUGCACCAAUUCUUCUGUCUAGCAUUCAUCAGAGUGCUCCUGUGUGCCAGGCCCUCUGCUAAGCACUGGGCAUACAGCAGUGAACAGAAACCCCAGGGGGCUCAUAGACCAGUUGGGAAGAUUGGCAUUAAACAAAUGAAUAUGUAAAUCCAAAUCAAGAGGUAUGAACACCAUGAAAGACAAAAUCAUGGUUGAAAGUUGAGUGGGCCUGGGGUUGGAGAGAUACUGCCCUAAGCAUCUCCCCUCCCCACCUGGCUUGCCACUUGCCCCUUUAUAGAAUAACUAAUCAUUGUUCAGUCUUUGAUAGCUUCCAUUGAAAAUGUCCCUCUUCUACCUGACAGAGUAGGGUCAAGACACCCAGAGCACAAAGGAGCUGAUGGGUUUAGUUAGCUGUUACUGCGGAAAGCCAAGAGGAUGAGCUUGAGAGAACAGACUGAGGGCUUUAGAUGGGUGAGUGUGAGAAAGUCUACAGUGCUUGCUGUGCUGAGGAAAAAAUCCAGGUGGAUCACCUGGAGGUGACCCAAAGUGCCAAUGAAGUCCAUGUCAAUGGCCCUCUUCACAUACUUCACUACUGUCUCUGGAGCUCUCCUGAACAUCUUUCUCCCAUUCCUCACUGAGUUUUGCUAGACAUGGCAAAUGUUAACUCAUUACCAACUCUUAAUUGUAUUGCUGUUUCUUUGCCCCUGUCUAGCUCUUUCUAUUUGUACAUUUUGUAAAGAGAAAAGGAAUUUAAAAAAUAAAACCAAAACAAUCUCUGGAGACAUUUCUGUGGUUUCCGCUAUAGGUAAGGGGCAAAUUCACCGUUUCUGGCCUGCAGCGUGUCUGGCCUCUUACCUGAGAGGGAGAUGGGGGAGCUAAGCAGAGGGAGACUGGCUUGGCUGCUUGAACAGUGAAGACUCCUGCGGGGCACUAGAUGGCAACAUUUCUCCAAAUCUAAACUUGGCAAGGCCCUGUGGACACAAGGUCAACAGUGCACAGAUGCUAAUCCCAACACAUUUUAUGAAACUCAAGCUUGUGUGGAGGAGAAGACUGAAGCUAGAUCUGGUGGACGAGAGGUCCUAACAGUCUCUCUCUCAGAGCUCGGCCCAUAGUUAAGAGGCUAGUGGUGCUAACUAUUUCUACCACUACCACCACCACCACUGCUACAACCAUUGCCAUCAUCACCACCACCACUAUCACCACCACCACUACCACAAUUGACUCACUCAUGUUGGUAUUGUUUUCAUUGGUGCUGAAAAUUAAACCCUCAUUCAGACUAAUUCUGGGAGGAGAGAUCUAGUUAGCGAUAUACAUCCUUUCAAUGUUUUUUCAAAUAUAUGCUACAACUAGAUUAACAAACUGCUGCCCAGUAUAGAAACUCAGGAGAAUUGCUUUAAUGAAUAGAUAAGAAUGGUUUGUAUCUGCAUAUCACUGCUUUUGGUAGAUAAGUAGUUGCUUCUUAUCUACUUAAGCAAUAUUUGAAAAUAGUAUUGUUCUAUGUGAACUGAAAAUCUACUCCGGAGUUGUGUUUGCAUUGUCAAUUGAUUUAGCAUGCGCUUUCUGCUUAGUAACCAGCCCCACUCCCAGGCCCUGCCCUUUUAAUUAGUCACCUGUCAUCAUAUUGAAGUGUUCCUCUUGAGGCACCAGUGACCCAUGGAGAGUCAAAACCUGGCACUUGACACAGAAACAAACAUUUGCUGAACUUAUGUAAUCGGGCUGGUCAGAUGAACUGUUUCUUGGUGAUCAUGAAUUGAACUUACAUGAAAGAACAGGAAUCAAGGUGGUCAAGAGGGUGGGAAUGUCAAGGGGAAGAGGGCCACCUAGCAGAGUUAUAGGACCCAAAUUUGACUGCUGGCCACUUGUGUAGAUGCCUUAAAGCCCCAGUGCUCCAUAGCUGCCACUUGACAGAGGUAGAUUUUUUUGCAUAGUUCCAUUCAUGUACUCAAUCAACAGAUAACAAUUAACUUCUGACAUGUGUCCAGCAUGCUUUCAGGCUCUAGGAAUACAGCACUGCACAAGGUACCUGCCCUUAUAAGGCUUACAUGCUGGUGGAGGAAAGAAACAGAAACAAAUAAACAAAUUAAUAAAUAUAAUUUAGGUUUGAUAAUACAAAAAGUAAAGCAGGAUUCAGACACAGUGACAAGUAAUGGUGUGUGUGUGUGUGUGUGUGUGUGUGUGUGUGUGUGUCCGUGUCCUUUGAUUAGUUAGAUUCAUUAGGGAAGGCUGCUUGGAAGAGAUGACAUUUGAACAGACAGACUCGAAUGAGAUGAGGGGGUGAGUCACGUAAGAGUCCCUCAGCUAAAACUAAACCACGUAUCACCAUUAUAGUGAACUGACCUAAGUCAACUUGGUCAUGAUGCACCACUCUUAAGUUCUUUUUAGUUGAAAAUCGUUGUUGAAAGAUUGAGAUAAAUAAUUUCUAUGGUUUGAAUGUAUGUAUGUGUGCCUCCAAAAUUUGUAAGUUAAAACUUACACUCCAAGGUGAUGGUAUUAAGAGGUGGGCCUUUGGGGAAGUGAUUAAGUCCUGAUGGCUCCACCCUUGUGAACUGAAUUAAUGCCCUUAUAAAAGAGGCUUCAGAGAGCUGCCUGACCCAUCCUCCAUCCCUUCCACCAUGUGAGCACGGAGGAAGAGGCACCAUCUUGGAAACAGAGAUCAGCCUUCUCCAGGUACUGAAUCUGCUGGUGCCUUAAUCUUGGACUUCCCAGCCACUUAGGUUCUCUGGAAGCAGAUACUGAGACAGAUACUAAGAUGGAGAAACCUCAUCUCUACUAAAAAUACAAAAUUAGCCGGGAGUGGUGGCGCAUGCCUGUAGUCCCAGCUACUCAGGAGGCUGAGGCAGGAGAAUCACUUGAACCCAGGAGGCGGAGGUUGCAGUGAGCCGAGAUCGUGCCAUUGGACUCCAGCCUGGACAACAAGAGCGAAAUUCUGUCUCAAAAACAAAAACAAAACAAAAAAACAUAUAUGGCCAGCUAGUUCUGCUUUUUAAAAAAAACUCAAAAUAAUUGAAUAUCACAAAGAGUACAGACCAUCUUUAAACUUCAUUUAUACUCUUUACACUUAUUUUCUCUUGCUAGUUUAUCAAAAGUACGACAUGAUUAGGAGUUUAUUUCCAUGUUGAUGGAGCUUUAUAAUCUACAAAUUGAAGGGAAUUAUUAAUGGUAAAUAACUGCUCUGAGUUUUUUUGUUUGUUUGUUUUUACUGGUCUGUUUGAAUUCUCUUCUGUUAGAAGAAUUUAAGUUCAAUAAAGUUUAAGGUAAGUUAAAAAAAAGAAAAAGGGAAGGAAUCUAGAUUGGGCAGAGGGAAAAGUUGAACCAUAAUGCACAUCCAACAAAGCCUCAACCAACCCAAUGUUGAGUUUUAGAGUGAAUACUGUAAUGAGAAAAACCUUCCCCCAAACUGGGAGGGAGUGGAGAGACCAAAAAAUGACUUAAACAAGUCCAGCCUGGCAAAUAAAUGAGUUUAUUAGGACUUACAUACGAGGAGCUCUUGGACAGCAGCAGGACAGCUUUAGAGAUCCACCCUGCCCCCCAUCCCUAAGCUGCUUUUAAGCUAAUUUUCUGGCUCUUUGCUCUGUGUGUGUGUGUGUGUGUGUGUGUGUGUGUGUGUGUGUGUGUGUGAUGGGAUUGCUUUCCCUGGUAGGUUUGCAGAUACUCUCUGGGAUGUUUGGUUUCUCAGGGAUACCUGCUCCUCAGCUGGGUACCAUGGGCUUGGCUCAUGGCCUGGCCUUCAGGGUUCAGGAAGCAGACACACAUCCCUCAGCAACCUGGCAGGGGACACAUCACACUACAAAUAUUAGCCAUCGGGGUUAUCUUGCACUGGGUCAAAUAGCUGCGUCUUUAUCCCUGACCUGGCUCAGGCAGCAGAUAAGGGCUGUGGGUGAGGAGGCUCUCUGCAUCUGAAGCAGACCCCGAAGGAGCAGGCAGCUGCGGCUGUCCCCUGAUGGUACUCCCCACAGCUGGGUAGCAAGUCCUUCCUUGAAGGAGGACUCUGGGCCACACAUUUAUGUAUCUACCACACCAUCAGAGGUGUUUGAAUCAGAGCAACUCCAUCUUGAAUAGGGACUGGGUAAAAUAAGGCUAAGACCUACUGGGCUGCAUUCCCAGAUGGUUAAGGCAUUCUAAGUCAUGGGAUGAGAUAGGAGGUCAGCACAAGAUACGGGUCAUAAAGACCUUGCUGAUAAAAAAGGUUGCAGUAAAGGAGCCAGUCAAAACUCCCCAAAACCAAGAUGGUGACAAGAGUGAUCUCUGGUCAUCCUCACUGCUACAGUCCCACCAGCACCAUGACAGUUUACAAAUGCCAUGGCAAUGUCAGGAAGUUACCCUAUAAGGUCUGAAAAUGGGAGACAUGAAUAGUCCACCCCUUGUUUUCAUAUAAUCAAGAAAUAACCAUAAAAAUGGGCAACUGGCAGCUCUUGGGGCUGCUCUGCCUAUGGAGUAGCCAUUCUUUUAUUCCUUUACUUUCUUAAUAAACUUCCUUUCACUUUACUGUAUGGAUUCACCUGAAAUUCUUUCUUGUGCGAGAUCCAAGAACCCUCUCUUGGGGUCUGGAUUGGGACCCCUUUCCAGUGCAGUGGAGAAUGUAACACGUCUAAAAUACGUUGGCCCAUCCAUACAUCUUGAAUACCUUUAAUUUCACAAAGGAGAGUCCACUUCUAAUAUUCAUUGUACUUAUUAACGAUGAACUAAUUUAAACAAUAAAAAUCCAUUUCUGACAUUCACUAUGCUAAUUAACAAAGCCUCAGGUAUUCAGGGAGACAUCGAUCAAAGAAGCACUUAAAGUGGCUGCCUCUGGAAUGUGUCCUUUCUGAUAAAAUACUAGCUCACUACCCUGGAGUAGAAUUUUCCAUUAGAGCAACUGACUGCCCUUAGAGUAAAAGCAGAAACGAACCAGCACACACAUAAUAUCCCUGUCUCUACCUCACUGGAGUAUUUAAAGUAAAUUGGAGACGUCUAAACGGCUCUCAUUUAGAUAUGCUUGUCUUUGGGGUCUUAGAUGCUUACUCUCUGAUCUUGUCCAAUCAUGCUGUCUUAUGGAUUAUUUGGUUGCAAGGGACAGAAACAUACCUGGACUAGUUGGAGUUCAAUGGGGGUUACUGUAUGGAUCCAAGGAUUUGACAGGCAACCUCUAGAUACCAAGGUUGACAAUGAAGGCUCAGAGUGGAACGAGGAUGUUGGGAUCCCAAACGUUCCCUGCCUCUCUCAUGAGGCCACAGUCUUCUCUUCUCUCUGCUUGUCUGUGUGUCUGCUUCUGUCUUCCUCUUCUCUCUGCCUUUUCCAUUUCCUCAUUGGCACACUUCUCCACUCCUGAGUCUAUAUAACCAUUGAGUUGGAGCACUCUUCAUCACUGAAACAUCACCAUCUCUCUUAGGUCAAUGUCUUGAAAGAGAAAAAAAACAAAGAGAAAGUGUGACAGGCACAGCCCUGCCCAUGGCCUGAGGUCUUUUGGGUUAGAGUGUUCAGUCAUCAGUGGACAGGGUGUGAUAAGAGCAGGGUGAAUGAGGCCGGGCAGGGUGAUACAUGCUUGUAAUCCCAGCGCUUUGGGAGGCUGAGGUGGGCGGAUCGCUUGAGGUCAGGAGUUUGAGACCAGCCUGGCUGACAUGGUGAAGCCAUCUCUACUAAAAAUACAAAAAUUAGCCGGGCGUGGUAGUGCAUGCCUGUAGUCCCAGCUACUCCUCAGGAGGCUGAGACAGGAGGAUUGCUUGAACCUGGGAGGCAGAGACUGCAGUGAGCUGAGAUCACGCCACUGCACUCCAGCCUGGGUGACAGAGUGAGACUCUGUCUCAAAAAAGAAAAAAAAAAAGAGCAGGGUAAAUGAGAGUCCUCCUUGGAGCUGUAGAAGGACAGAUUACCCCAGAAAAGGAUGAAGAUAGGGAGGCUGUAAUCACCAUCACGCAGCAGUCCUACUUACUGGGAGUACAGCAUCUUUCUAGAAAAUUCCUUGAUUUGCACAGGUACACACAUGUACACCAUGCAUAGUCAAACCAACCUAAGAAUUACUCCGAAGGCUAUAUAUUUAAAUUAUGAUUUUUAAACUUAUGAUAUUCAAAUGUACACAUAAGGUGGUUUCCUAGACUCAGCUCAUAAAGAAAUGUCUUCUUGUUAUCUCUCUCUGAGACUCCCUUUGCUACAAAUACCACCUUCUCGGUUGUAAUUCAAGGAGGUCGGAAUUGACUUUCCUGGUCAUGGCCACUUCCACCAAUCUGGGUACCACCCAAUAGCCAUGGCUAGAAUGGCACAGUCCAUCCCUCAUAGACAUUGUCAAAGGCUGUGAGUCAAGUAACUCAUGACCAAAUCUAGUCUACAGUGAAUUCUCCAAGGAAACUCCGUCCUCUAUCCCAACUGUAGCAACUGGACCACAGCAUAGGCUAUCAGCCCAGGGAUUUGAUUCAUGAAAGCAAAGCUGUCCUCCAGCCUGAGUACAUAGAAACCUCAUAUUGUUCUCAAUGUUUCCUGUCACGCUUGUUUGCAUCACUUACAAUUUCCCAGGGACACUGGUGUGUCAACUAAUCUUAUCAGCCAGGCAUCUGUAAGCAGGCAUGGCAAUAAAGCAAACAGAGCCCUGUGUCCAGUUUGUAGGAGCUGAUCCCUUCUGCCCAGGGCAGCGACAGGACUCUGUCCAGGCCUGGGGGAGGCUCUCUCCUGUCCCUGGAGUCCUUUCCCUCUGGCUUCCUAUCCCUUUAACAGGGGCAGAGCCUUUAUCCCCAGUCAGAGGAAAUGCAGAAACUGGAGAUGCCUCAGGCAGAUAGGAUUUUGCCUAAUGAAAAACCUCAGAAAUGCUUGAAGAGAAAAGUCUUGUUGCUCCUACUCAGACCCCACCCCCCACCUUGUUAGGGGUAGGAACAAGCAAGACCUGAGUGCCCUGGGCAAGUAUCCUUAGGCCAGUAGUACUGCCCCUGCCCCAUGGCUGGCCCCAUUGACAAAUAAGUCCCAGACAUUUUUGCCCUGUUCAUGGCCUCCACCCAAACCCAAACUCACCCCACUCUCCAUUUUCUCUCCUAUUUCCAGUUGGUGCUGAACCCCAGUUACCUGUUACUAAGAGCCUCACUCUUCUCCUUCAGCUCUGUAGGUCUCUCCAGCUCUCACUCUGCUGUUUCCCCUUAAUUCAGAUUUACAGUCUCCCUUUGGGUCCUGUACUUCUCUUCUUCCCCAAUCCUGACCUGCUCCUGGAACCCUAACUCUAAGAUGGGACUCUGUGGCUGGCAAACCCCCCCAGGUCUCCCACAGACCCUCAGAUCAGGAGCCUCUGAAACACAGAAAAGUAAAUUGGAAUGGAAUUCGUGCUACACCAUGGUGAAGAAGAGGAACU
Molecule: long non-coding RNA, 20667 nt
Organism: Pan troglodytes (chimpanzee)
Lineage: Eukaryota; Metazoa; Chordata; Mammalia; Primates; Hominidae
Exons: 5
Source: RefSeq, a predicted model, not a curated record